Oreochromis aureus is the source of this 8454-nucleotide long non-coding RNA. NCBI's taxonomy places the organism in Eukaryota, Metazoa, Chordata, Actinopteri, Cichliformes, Cichlidae. The record is from Ensembl.
CCUAGGAUAGGUUUACUGGGGCAACGUGUGCUGGGCAGCGGCCAGGACUGCCUCAGUCUGGAGUUGCCCGUGUGAGAGGCAGCGUGCUGGGCUGAGUGUCCCCUCAGCUUGCUGCUCUGUACGAGAGAGUUUGUUCCCUGCGCCUUCUGGUUAGGGAACGGGUCCUGACUGUUGCCUGUGCUUCUGCACCGAGCAACAGUCAGAGUCUUGGAGUCCCUGGGUAGGAUGGUUGAGGGCGCUCCACCCGGGGACUCUGUCAUCUUGGAUGUGCUUGCUCGUAGGACGUCAUAUGAUUGUAUUAUUGUAGGGUCUACUUUACAGUAUAAAGCCCCUUGAGGGGAUGUUGUUGUGAUUUGGUGGUGUAUAAAUAAAGCUGAAUUGAAUUAAAUUACUAUGUGAUUUUCUACAUUUCACAAUGGACUAAGAAAAAAAUCCCAUUCACUUGACAUUAAUAUUACAAUAAUACAUAAUACAACUGCGACCUGUCCAGGCUGUGCCCCGCCCCUCUCCCUAUGACAGCUGGGAUAGGCUCCAGUGACCCCCGUGACCCUGAAAAGGAUAAGUGAAGUGAAUAGAUGGAUGGAUCAGAGUGGUGGUUACACUUAACAUCACCAUACAGUACAAAUCAGUGAGAGUAAAUGUUUAUUGUUCAACUAUUACAAAAAUAUACGUGUAUAUAGCAUUAAAGAUCAAUUUUAAUGUUGCCAGGGAGAUGAGUCCACAUUACAAAACAGCUCACUCUCCACCUCUGAAUAAGCUCAGAAAUUUGCAGCCGUUACAGUAAAUAAAAGCAAUAAAAGAUGAUCAGUGUUAUGUCAGGUACAUGUUUGGUAAGAACUCGACUUGCUUGUUCAAGCUGUGAAAUUCACACAAACAGUGUCUAAUUAUCCACGGUGGUAAAUCCCACCGACACCAAGUGCAGCUCUUUUCUUUGGUAUUUGGCACAUUUGUCCACAGUUUGUCGACUUUGUGUAAUUUAAAGAUGUCUGAAGCUGAACGACUCCUCGGUUACUCUGGGUAACUGAACAGGACAGAUUCAGGAUUUAUGAUUACAGGAACUUUCCUUUAGUUUUCAGUUGAUUAAUAAACGUGACAGAUUUAGAGUUUAGAAAGCAAGAAUACUCAUGAUUAGCUCAACAUUUAGAGUAACUAGCAAUGUGAGUAUAAUUAUAAGUAUAAAAAGAAAUUAUUUGUGAAAUCACAGAAUACUUGAAAGUGUCACCUGCAGCAGCAGCAGCAGCAGCAGCAGCAGCAGCAGCAGUCUACAGCACAUUCAUUGACUCUGCUUCAACAUUAGUUUCAUCUUGUUUUUGUCUUUUUUGCUUUUGUGCUUUUCUGAUUAAUUUUCGAGACCCUUGUAAAGCAAAAGCCAAGUGAAAGAGAAGAAGAGUGACGCAGAUAACCCAGGUUAUGAUCAAUGACCAAAGUGAUUCCUUCUUUCUAUACUGGCACUCUUGCAGCAGCAUGUCCACCGACGCCUCCAGCUCCCUGAACACCAGCAGCAAAUGGCCACAUUCAUCAUCAUCACUAAUCCAGCCUCGCAGUGCAAUUUUUAUAGUUGAUUGUUCGAAUCCAAAGAAGGUCAACAGGACUCGGUCAGAUAAUAGUUGGCAAUCAAACUCUGGACUUGAAUUUGAGCUCAGGUACAAAACAUCUGUGGCGUUGUCUGUCGCACAGUUGUCUAUGGUGACUGAGCCGUUGCUGAAAGUGAACAUGUAAAUGUCAUUUCCAUCACCUCCAACCAGAUAAUCUCCACCGGUGGACACCAAGAUGUCGUUACCAUCUGAGCCUUUGAGAAGAGAACUUUCAUAACCAGACACUAAGAUGUCCGAAUAGAUGGUGCCGACCACAGUUUCCACAUCAUUCAACACGUCGCCCUCAGCGUCAGCGUAGUGGCCUUGGCCCGUCAGCAGGUUAACAUAAACCCCUUCACCCUUCUUAUGAUCACCCCGAUAGAGAACCGAGUCUCUGCCUGGACCUCCGUCCACCAGAUCAGCUCCUGGUCCAGGAAGGAAGACGUCCCGGCCAGAGUUUCCCAUCAGUGUGUCAUUUCCAUCUUCACCAUAAAGAGUGUCGUCUCCUCUCCCACCAAUCAGGAUGUCAGCUCCAUUUCCUCCUACCAGCGUGUCAUCUCCAUCACCUCCAUCCAAGGCGUCGUCCUUCCACCCACCAAUCAGAGCGUUGUCUCGGUUGUUGCCUAUUAUAACAUUAGACUGGGAGGGGCAGCCUUGCACUGUGUGAACCUCUGACAGAUUUCUCUGAGUGCUGAGGUCCAAACGACAGUCCACCUGAGACUGUCUGAGAGUCACUUUGAAAGCUUCUACCUGAUAGAAAGAGUCACCUGCAGCUGAGUUUAGAGAUUUGAGUUUGAAAUGGACGCCAUCAGAGCUCUGAAAUUCUAGAUGCUGAUGUUUUUCACCAUUAGCAUAAUUGCGGAGAAUGAAUUCUAAUCUUUCCUCAUUUUUCAUGAUUCUAACAUGAAUAUCCUUUCUUUUUGAGUCCAGUAUGACUCGACUUCCAUCAAGGAAAUCCAUGUCUACCAGCACAGUGUCAGUUUUCUGAUCUUCUGCAAAGUUAUCAAUGAUUAUGUGGUCUCCAUAUUUAUGUUUGAUUAUGUAAGUGUCUUUGCCUUCCCCUCCUAUCAUCAGUGCCCCCCCGGUGUGUGGAUCCAGUAAAUUAUCAUUGCUGUUUCCAACCAUGAUGUCAAAUCCUGAGGAGCCGUACAUUUCUUUCAAUGAUUCAACGUCUUGUAUUUUCAUCAUUUUCCCCUCGUGCAUGCAGUUGCCUCUAUCAAAAUAAAUCCUUGCAUUUUGAUGACAGUACAUUUUCUCUUUAGCAAAAUACAGGCAUAGAUUGUCAUAGUUUAGUGGAAGACGUUCAGGACUCAGGUUUCUGUAGUCGAUGGUUAAAGGCAGCAUUAAAUCCUGUCCACAGCUGCUGAUGUUGGGCUUCAGUCCAGCUGUUAUUCCAUCACUGGUCUUGAUCUGCAGGUGCUGAUAAUUCUUUGAUUUAAACCAGUUCUGUAAAAUAACAGUUCUUCUGCCCUCUACCUGAAUGAUGACGCUCUGACCUUCACAUCUACAUGUUAUAUGCUGAUAUUGUUCUUUAAGGAAGAGCAGGUCCAAGGUUAGAUCUGGUGAUAGAUUGUUGAUGGUUUUCACUCCUUGUCCUGCUGUGAUAACGUACCAGUCCUCUCCUCCUCUCCCCUCAAUGAAAUCAUCUCCUAAUCCAGGGACGACAACGUUGUGUUCUUUGUUUCCUUUGAUGACAUCACUAUAGUUUGACCCGCGGACCUCUGUCACGCUGUCCAAAGCCUCAUCCUUCUCAAGGUCCACCUCCAGAGGAGACGGGGAGCUGCUGUAGUCAAUGCUGAGGCUCUUUAUACAUGUGGUGAAGAUGUUGCUCUGCAGGCAGUCAGUCUUGUUAUCUGACACUGUGAAGGUGAUCAGAUCCUUUGUGAUGAACAGUAAGUGUCUGUGUGCUGAUGAGCUGAACCAGUUCACUACAGUAACAUGAAACGCUGUGCUGUCAUGUUGAGCCUCCAGAUGAACAUCAUCACCUUCUACUCUGACUCCAAACGUAUGAAGAUUUGCUUCUACGAUGGCCAGGUCAGUUUUCUCGUCUCUGGAGUAAUUUUCAAUGAACACAGAGGAACGUUUUCUGCCUUUCACCAUGUAAAUGUCUUCUCCUUCAGCACCAAUCAGACGAUCUCGCCCUCCUCCCCCAUCUAUCAGGUUUCUUUCUCCAUUUCCAAUGACUUCAUCAUCAUACUGGGACCCAAAGAUGUUUGUAACUGUGCGUAAAAGUAGCUGUGAUGCAUCAACAACUGCACCGUGUUUCUCAAACAUCUUGUUAAUUCCUCUGGCCACCAGCUGAACUGAAGAAACCACCGUGGAGGAAAUCUCAAAUAAGACUCCGUCUCCUGACAUCAUGUUCAUGUGACGAUAAUCUUCUCCUAAAAACCAGUUUUGUAUUCUUACAGUAUGACUGCCCUCAUACAUCAGCACAGCAUCAUUUCCUGACUUAGACACAGAAAUGUGGCUGUAGUCGACACUGAAAAGCAGAGUGUCUUGUGCUCUGGAGGGAUCGUAGUUGUUAAUGAUCGUUUUCCCUCCAUUCUCAGGAAUGAUGUAAGUGUCUUUUCCUCCUGAGCCUUCAACAUAACUUCUCUGUGGACCGAGGAAGAAUGUGUCAUCCCCUGGUUCCCCAUAAAGUUUGUAAUAGUAGCUCAACAUGACUCCAAUCAUAUAUUUGUCCUGUGAUUUCUGAACUGCAAAAAAUCGAUUAGAGUCUCUGUUUCCCCUGUAUGUCCCGUAUCUUGAAUUGGUAAGAUUUUUAUAACCCGAAACCACUGUCACAUGUCCAGCUGGUAUGAACACGGCUAUUUUGUUUUCAUAUGUCGUGUGCUCUAAUCCAUGUGACUCUCCCAGACCAAGAAUUAUAUCUUUGCUUCCAUUUGUGUUAAUGCUCCAGCAUUGUCUUCUUGGACUCUCAUCAUGAGAAACAAAAUAGUCCAUGCAGAGCUCAGACUGACCCUCAUCAGCGAGGCAGAAGUUAAUGCCUCCUCCAUUCCAGGAGGAGGCGCCAGCAGUAAAAUCAAUGGCAGUCGUUCCAUCCUGUUGCUUUGUGAUAUUAUAAUAUUGGUGAUAAUCUGAGAUCUGUGCAACAAGUCUUCAUCCCUCCUCAAUUUCAUCAUAAUGCCAGUCAUAAAAAAAACUAGCCACAUGUAUAGCAAAGUGCAUGAUCCCUUUUCCAAAGCCAACAAAAACAGCAGCUAUUUUGUCCAAAACUCCAGCGUCCGCUGGGAGGCUGUUCAGUUCAUUCUGGAUGCCCAUAUAAACAUCAUCAAUGGCCAUCCGCACUACUGAUAGAGCCAGAUUUAUAGGUGCGAUGAAAGGUGCCAGUUCAGGCUGAACAAGCUCAACAACAUCUAACUCAACCAUGAUUAUAUCUAACGCAGCAUCAAUGUAUCCCAGAGCAUCUCCUCUUUUAAAAUCUUCUAUCACAUUGUAGAUCCCAAAUCCAAUUCCCACUAUUGGUAUAACUACCAUAAAACGCUUCAUUGCAGGACUCCUCAUGAUCGUUGUUGCAGCUUUUGCGAUUCUUGACUCUGAGGUCAAAGCUUUGCUUGCAAUAGCAGAUGUUGUCAUAGCCGUCACUCCAUGAGCCGUCUGCAAAGAGCCCAUCACACCAUCUUCGAUGUUUCCCUCUUCAAAGGCACGAGCAGCUCCUUUCAGUCCCAGCAUGAGACCCAGAGCUCCAACAGGAGUUCCAGUCCUCUCUACAUACUUGUUGACCUGAUGGGAGGAUGCUGAACUGUGCUCCUCCAUCUCAUGCACUGAUGUCUCAAUGUUCUUCCACAUCUUUUCACUGUAAUGUUGACUCUGUGGAGAUAAAUCAGCCCUGAACUCCACGGGCUCAGCACCAGCUCUCUCUGACACGAGCUUACAUACAAACUGUCCGUUUUCUAUUCGGGCCGUUCCCUCCUGAAGGUGCAUUCCUGCCAGAGUUUCACCGUAUCUGUCCUGUAGUGCAGCAUGGACGUCUUCAGCCAACGAUGCUGAUGCUCUAGAGAAAUAAGAUUCAUGUUUGAAGGUAUUUUCUAAUUCUGAGGCUGAAUUCAGGUCUCGCAUUGUGACGUAGCCAUCAUCGUAUCCUCCCAGUGUUCCAGAUGUGGAAGGUUUUCUGUGAUCGUCAGGUUGUGUUAUCUUGUUGGUGUCUGUUUUGAAAUCAUUGUAUUUUUUUUGAAAGUCUGAAUUAUCCGUCACUGUUUUGUAGGUGUUUGAAAGUUCAGUUAUGCGUUUCACCACAUCACUUUCACCAUUACCAACGGUUUCCUUCCAUUCUGUAAAGAAGUUACCCUCUCGUUUUACAAGGUCAACAAGGCUACCCAUUAGCUCCUCCUCAGUUUUACGGUGUUCUUCUUGAUUUGUUAAUUUGCUGGAAUCUUCAUGUGUUGCUGAGCCUGUGAAUCCUCGUCUGCUCGGGUCAAUCCAACUGCCUCCUCUUGUCAUUGGAUGAUUGUCAAAGAAGAAAUCCAGUCCUUUCUGUCGGAUAUUAUUGUCCUUGCUUUGAACCAGAUCCAGGGCCAUAAGAGUCAGAGGGAACGUCCGGAAAUUUCUUGCAGAUUCAGAUAUAACUGUUGCAGUGAAAUACGUGGUGAACCAGGCCUUCAUGGAAUGACUUCCUUUAAAAACACCUGGGUGCUCCCCACGAAAAGUAUUUUCUACAUAUUCAGCAUAUCUUUGCUUUUGUUGUUUUUUUUCGUUAUUAUUCAUUUUUUCAUUCUUUACAUUUUUAAAAAUCUUGUCUCGCAUGUCUGGGUAUUUUUCGUUCCCCACCUGUUCAUUAAUACAUUUCUUAAUAUCAUCAAUUACAUUAUUGUUGUUUUCUAUUUCAUUGUUGUCAAGCUUUUUUCCAACUGGAUACACGUACAGACUCCGAGGGUCAACUUCAUAUAUCCAGUCAUUGAUCUUCAGGUAUGUAGUCUUUUUUUCUCCAUUCUUUGCAUAAUGACGUAUUAUAUUUUUUAUAUCUUCUCCUGAUUUAAUCUCAUAACAUUCAUUAAGGAGUCGUCUUUUUUCACCUUCAUCAUCAUCUAUCCACCUAAUAGUUGUUUUAGUUUCCUCUUUUAUAAUCUUUUUUUCUCUUUUCCCUAUUAAAUAUCCUUUUAUUUGUUUUGCAUUGUUGACACUGAUUUUCUUUGGUACUGGUUGAUCUGAGUGAAAGAUUCCCCAAGACAGAGCCUCGAGUUCAUCAAUGGCAGAUUUCAUCUCGUUAACUUCAUUUUGGUCAAUCUUGUUAAAAACCUCUGGGUCAACAAACCUCUUUGGUUCAUCUGGCCAGCUGUCUUCUCUUAUAAAUUUUUUUAGUGUUUUUUUGUUUCCCCUGUUUUCUCCUCCACCCAGAAAGUUUCUUUCAUUGGUAAAAACAGCCUCUCCUUUACUCCCAGGCUCGUUUCUCAUUAUUACAUCUCCGUUGCUAUCAAGUAUUGCCACCACUUUCUUGCUGUUGUCUUUAUGUCUCCAUUGCAGCCCCUCUGGAGAGAUUUCCUGAGUGAUUUUCUUUCCUGUGUGUGUGACUUGGACGAGAGCGUCCCUCAUAUGAAGCUCUGUCUUGAUGUCAUUUUUAUGGAGGUCCCUCAGCAGAGUUUCCAUGAAUCGUUGGUCUGAUCCGACCUCACAGGCCACCACACUUGUUGUUUUGAUUUUAUCGCUGCCUCUGUUUGUCCUUUCGAUGAUUUUUGCCACCUCUCCUGAACUGUAUCCUGACAGUCUCAUUUCUCCUGCGUUGUCUCUUUCACCAUGACCUACCAGCACCAGUCUGCUGUCCUCUGACAGAGACACUGGUUCACCGUGGAUCAGUUUGGGUCUUUGGUUUUCAUCAAGAACAUAGACAGAACUGACUGCUGGAUGUUUCUCAUACAAAUAUUCAGCAGCUUUUAUGACCACAGGGUCAUUUUCCAUCAUUACGAUCUGCUGGUGGUCAUACUGUGUGCUGUGAUCAGCUGGUCUUUGUGGGAUUUUGUAGCUGGAAACUGAGUCAGGUCGAUCCAUCACCUGGUAAAUCUGCUGAUUGUUUUGGUUGGUUUCUAAGACUGUUUGGAGGCCGCGGAGCAUAAAAACCCGAAUGAAGUUCUGUUGGAACUGUGUGGUUGUGUUUCCAUCGAGAGAGAAAACUGGAGCCGCUUCCAGAGAUGGUUUCAACAUCAGCUUUGCAAGUGAAGAUCCAUCAAGUCCAGACACAGUUUGUCCAUCUUCUGAAACACUUCCAAAUAUUUUGACUACAGUGUAGCUGUCUGCUGCUGGUACACAGGAGUCGUUGAACAGGCAGUCCGUGGUGACUUUCACGGAGUAAUGAGGAUCCAUGCUGUAUUCCUGCUGGACUCUGUCACUGGUGGAUUUCUCUGUGUCGGUCAUGAUCAGAAGUUUUUGGUUGUAGCUGUGUGAGAUCUCUGAAGCACCCAGCAGCCAGUCUUGGACCUUCUGUUUCUCGAUAUGUGCCAAGAAGGCAUUAAAGUCCUGAAAAAUGAAGCAAAGAGUGGAAUGAGAGAGAGCUCCAGGAUAACUGUUUUGGUCUCAGUUAAUUUCUAUAAGGUGAGAUUUCUGAGCAUUUUUUUUGAUCUAUUCAAUUCAAUUCAAUUCAAUUUUAUUUAUAUAGCGCCAAAUCACAACAAAAGUCGCCUCAAGGCGCUUUAUAUUGUACAGUAGAUAGCACAAUAAUAAAUACAGAGAAAAACCCAACAAUCAUAUGACCCCCUAUGAGCAAGCACUUUGGCGACAGUGGGAAGGAAAAACUCCCUUUUAACAGGAAGAAACCUCCAGCAGAACCAGGCUCAGGGAGGGGCGGGGCCAUCUGCUGCGACCGGUUGGGGUGAAAGAAGGAAAACAGGAUGAAAGACAUGCUGUGGAAGAGAGACAGAGAUUAAUAACAGAUAUGAUUCGAUGCAGAGAG